GACGAACGCUGGCGGCGUGCUUAACACAUGCAAGUCGAACGGAAAGGCCCUGCUUUUGUGGGGUGCUCGAGUGGCGAACGGGUGAGUAGCACGUGAGUAACCUGCCCUUGAUUUUGGGAUAACUUCAGGAAACUGGGGCUAAUACCGGAUAGGAGCUCCUGCUGCAUGGUGGGGGUUGGAAAGUUUCGGCGGUUGGGGAUGGAUGCGCGGCUUAUCAGCUUGUUGGUGGGGUAGUGGCUUACCAAGGCUUUGACGGGUAGCCGGCCUGAGAGGGUGACCGGCCACAUUGGGACUGAGAUACGGCCCAGACUCCUACGGGAGGCAGCGGUGGGGAAUAUUGCACAAUGGGCGGAAGCCGGAUGCAGCAACGCCGCGUGCGGGAUGACGGCCUUCGGGUUGUAAACCGCUUUCGCCUGUGACGAAGCGUGAGUGACGGUAAUGGGUAAAGAAGCACCGGCUAACUACGUG
Molecule: ribosomal RNA, 468 nt
Filed under: uncultured bacterium
Lineage: Bacteria
Description: partial 16S ribosomal RNA
Rfam family: Bacterial small subunit ribosomal RNA
Source: RNAcentral